GUCCACGCCGUAAACGAUGGGCACUAGAUGCCGGUGGGAACGACCCCAUCGGUGUCGAAGCUAACGCAUUAAGUGCCCCGCCUGGGGAGUACGGCCGCAAGGCUGAAACUCAAAGGAAUUGACGGGGGCCCGCACAAGCGGUGGAGCAUGUGGUUUAAUUCGAAGCAACGCGAAGAACCUUACCUGGGCUUGACAUGCUGGUGAAAGGUCAUGGAAACAUGGCCCAUCCUUCGGGACUCCAGCACAGGUGCUGCAUGGCUGUCGU
This 265-nucleotide ribosomal RNA is filed under the name uncultured bacterium. RNAcentral describes it as "partial 16S ribosomal RNA". It matches the Rfam family "Bacterial small subunit ribosomal RNA", at positions 793 to 1055 of the family's 1533-position model. The record is from RNAcentral.